This 276-nucleotide small nuclear RNA is filed under the name Castor canadensis (American beaver). Its description in RNAcentral is "7SK RNA (ENSCCNG00000022281.1)". It matches the Rfam family "7SK RNA". Rfam says of the family: 7SK was discovered as an abundant small nuclear RNA in the mid-70s but a possible function has only recently been suggested. Two independent studies have found that 7SK RNA binds the CDK9/cyclin T complex (known as elongation factor P-TEFb). The record is from Rfam by way of RNAcentral. Lineage: Eukaryota; Metazoa; Chordata; Mammalia; Rodentia; Castoridae.
AGAUGUUGGCUGCAACAUCUCUGACCCCAGUGAUCGCCAGGGUUGAGGUGGUGACCUGGAUGGCUAGGCAGGUGUCCCCUCUACUGCUCCAUGUGUGUCCUUCCUGAAGCUGAGCAGUCUGGUGAAGAGCAUGACCUUCCCCAAUAGAGGAAGAUAUUUCUUGUGUCAUGGGUGUGCAGCUGUGCGCCCCACUAGAACCUGCAAACCCGCUCUCAAGAACAAGGUAGGAGUGCACACACGACGCAGUGUCUAAAAGGCUGUAAGACAGUGUGGUUU